Non-coding RNA from Ictidomys tridecemlineatus (thirteen-lined ground squirrel), 2575 nucleotides. The record is from RefSeq and is a predicted model, not a curated record. Lineage: Eukaryota; Metazoa; Chordata; Mammalia; Rodentia; Sciuridae.
CAUUUUCCCUCCUCAGUUCCGGUAGCUCGAGGUUGAGGGCCAUAGAUUGAGGUCGUGAGACCGUCUAUGCUCACAGUUUCUGGGCUGUAGUGCUAUGUGAAGUGGCUCCUGCCCCAGGCGUCAUUACCACACCUAAGCCUGGACACUUAAGGGUGACAGGGGCUUGUUAAAUUGCCCAGGUGAGGCCUGCGACUUUGGAUCCUCCUGUCUGUCUUCAGAGACGCUGGAAUCACAGGGGUCACCUCACUACUGGCAAGAGUCAAGAUCAGAACCCUGUUCCCCAGAGUUGAAGGAUGAACACGAAGAAUGGCACCAAGGUGGUGAGCUGGAUUUGCAGUUUGCUGGCCUCUAAUUUAAACAAUGGUGAUGAUACCUCCUUCGAGUUACACUGGCAAGCCGGGGCACAGGUCCAACUGAGAGGCUAUUCUAAGAAAGACUCCUGAGAAUCCCUCACCUCCGUAGGCCAACUGGACAGGGGAACACUAAUGGUUGUACGCUUUGUUCUUCUCUAGCCAGAUGAGAGAAUGAGGUGUUUUUGGGGGUGGGGGCUUGAUGAUGAAAGGGUCAUGGAAGGAAGAUGGUUUCUAGGAAAAGAGAGAAGUUGCUUCUUUACUCCUGAGAAGCCCCUCUGGGAAGAUUCUAGAAGAAAGACUGUCUUUUCAACGGAGGUGGCAGCUGCAUUUCUGCCUACCUUACAAACAGGAAGAGGGAUAGGAAUGACUGGAGGGGGGGGGUGGAAAUAGGUUCAGUCUCCCCACUCAGAGGAUCCCUGGGGGGCGGCUGAAGACAGGGCUGAACUUCACAAAGACAGGAAUACAGAACACUGGGUACAUUUAAAGCCCCUUUGGUGAGUUAGGAUUGUUAUUUCCACUGAAAUAAUUACCAGUUAUCGCUCAUUUUUCUAAGAUCACAGUAAAAGAAAAAGCCACAAUCUACCACUCUCAGUAACAAACUAGGGUUGAUCUCUAUGCUCAAAGAAUAAAAUUAAUCCAUGAAAAAAUAGAUCCCAGCUCUGGGCACAUCAAGAUAGUGAGGGGCGACUAGGUGAGGCAUGGAGGCCUUUUCAGCACACUGUAACUAUUCUGUGUGAUGCCCUGAUGGUGGGAACAUGUCAUCACACAUUUGUAGCCUGUGUAUCACCAAGAGUGAGACCGAAUGAAAACCUCUAGAUUUGCAGUGAGCUGUAAUCCCAGAGACUGCAGGGGCUGGGGCAGGAGGAUUGCAACUUGGAACUUCGGCCUCAGCAGGACCCUGUCUCAAAAAAAGACUAGGGAUGUAGCUCACUGGUUGAACACCCCUAAGUUCAAUCAUCAGUACCAAAACAGUAAAUAAAACAGUGCAGAAUUCUGGCCUAGCAAUGUAUACCACAGGGAUGUGAAAUGUUAAUAAUCAGGGAAACGGGGUGGGGGGCGAGUAGAAAGAGAAGGAGGCAUAUGGGAAAUCUGUACUUCCUUUUUCAUCCUUCUGUUAUUCUGAAAGUCUAUUAAGAAAGGUUUCACACCUGGGGAUUUUUUGUCUACCCCCAAAUUCAGGUACCAGAAAGAUAGGGAUACUCUGUCACACAGUCCCUAUAUUUCUACAGCAGCCUGUGACAGGAUAGGGAUUAGUGCCUGAAAUUUCUAGAAGCCAAGGGGAGUCUGAGGUGUGGUUCUUCCAAGUGUGUACCAGAGAGUUAAAGUGUCAGCUCAUUUAGCUCCUGGGUUUUUGGUUUUGUUUUUUGAAAGCGAUCACCAGCUACUGCACUGAGAUCACAGGGCUGUGUCCCAUAACCUGGAAAGCACUGUGCAAAAGCGUCAAUCAAUAAUGUCCCCAGCCCAUGGUCACAAAGCCAGCAUCGAGGGAGCAUUGCACUCCAGGUAUGAACUCGAGUUUCAAUGCUUCUCUUCUGUGCAGCUUCUAUCUCUGGGCUUUCAGAGACCCCAAUUUCUCUUUUACUAACUAAGCCCCAGAAAGGCUGUCCAGGGUGUUCACAAGGUGAGGUACAGUUCUGUUUUGAGCUCUGAAUGACAUUACCAAAACAGGCCACGUUAUAUAAUCUUCAGUUAGGCACUAAUGACCAAUUACCCUUCCCAGACUCGGUUAAUAGCUGUUCUUGGACGACAGAGAGUAACAAAGACAAGCUCCUGCCAGCAGGGAGAGCCACACCCACUUCUGAUGAAAUCCCCAGAAGAGCCAGCUGCAAAAUCAUUCUUUGAAGUCAUUCUGGGGCCACAGGUGCACUAUCCCCUGGGCAGUGAAAAGGCAGGGCUCACCACCUUUCGUGGCACAGCUGGGUCCUAGGCACCUGGGGCUGCCAUGUAAGGAAACCAGAACUCACAGAGGAGGAGGUGGAGAUGCCUAACAACAACCAGGCUGACUCGACCCUCCCUAGUCAGCGUCCCAGCUGGCCCUGGAGAUUCCAUUUGUGCAACUUCCCGGCCUUCUCAAUUAACUAAGAAACUUACCAGAACAUUCUCAGUGGUGAGAUGGGGGAUUUUAGCAAUCUUCAUUGGUUUUCUCCUAUUCUUUUCUGGUUUCCAUUAGUUUCUAAUCUUGCUCUUAUUAAUUUGGUACAAAAUACAGUUUUUAAGCCCAC